AUUGAACGCUGGCGGCAUGCCUUGCACAUGCGAGUCGAACGGCAGCACGGGUGCUUGCACCUGGUGGCGAGUGGCGAACGGGUGAGUAAUACAUCGGAACGUACCUUAUCGUGGGGGAUAACGCAGCGAAAGCUGUGCUAAUACCGCAUACGCCCUGAGGGGGAAAGCGGGGGAUCGAAAGACCUCGCGCGAUUAGAGCGGCCGAUGCCUGAUUAGCUUGUUGGUGGGGUAAAAGCCCACCAAGGCGACGAUCAGUAGCUGGUCUGAGAGGACGAUCAGCCACACUGGGACUGAGACACGGCCCAGACUCCUACGGGAGGCAGCAGUGGGGAAUUUUGGACAAUGGGGGCAACCCUGAUCCAGCAAUGCCGCGUGAGUGAAGAAGGCCUUCGGGUUGUAAAGCUCUUUUGUCAGGGAAGAAACACCGGCUCUAACACAGUCCGGGAAUGACGGUACCUGAAGAAUAAGCACCGGCUAACUACGUGCCAGCAGCCGCCGUAA
RNAcentral lists this ribosomal RNA (501 nucleotides) under uncultured bacterium. RNAcentral describes it as "partial 16S ribosomal RNA". It matches the Rfam family "Bacterial small subunit ribosomal RNA", at positions 29 to 523 of the family's 1533-position model. The record is from RNAcentral.